Long non-coding RNA from Solenopsis invicta (red fire ant), 4872 nucleotides. RefSeq lists it as uncharacterized. NCBI's taxonomy places the organism in Eukaryota, Metazoa, Arthropoda, Insecta, Hymenoptera, Formicidae. The record is from RefSeq and is a predicted model, not a curated record. The transcript has 2 exons.
GAUCAACUAUAUCAAUUGAAAGAGGAGAUUUUAAACUUUUUUUACGUCUUAAUCCAAACCUAUCUCAUUCCGUCUUCACAUAGCAAGCGUUCAAAACUUGAUAUAGGGUCUCUCAGGCCCACUUACGUUUUUAAGGGUUAAACGUAUUCUAAAGAAAUCAAUUUUUGAAUGCGAUUUAUAAGUUUCCAAUUAAUUACUUUUAAAAAUUUGUUAAUUUUUUUAUGUGCAUUUUAUUACAACUAUAUAUAGUUGCAGCAAAUAAAUAAUGGUUUAAAUAGGUAAAAGUUUAAUUUAAUCUUUGCGUUAUGGUGUAGCUUUAGAAGCUACACCUACCACGUUUAUUUUAUCAAUGAAUCAAUUGUUUCACGUAUUUCUUUAACAUGUUUGAUAUUACUAAAUUGUUAAAAGUUUCUUCUAACUAAUAAAUUGGGUUUUAAAAUUAUAUUUAAAUAAAUAAUUUGUCAUUAAUAAAUAUAUACUAAAAAAUUGUAGAGAUUAAAUUCGUUUGCAUAAAAUUUUUCAUAAUAACUUAUACUUCAAAAUCACAAUCCGAGGGUUUUUGAGGUUGCUGAUUACGAAUUUGAUGUCAAAAAUGAAAAAUGGCGGAUACAAUAUGGCAGACAAAAUUAUCAAAAUUGACUGGAUUUGCUUGAAACUUGCUAUUUACGGGUUCUCGAGGUUUUUGAUUACAAAUUCAAUGUCAAAAAUACAAAAUUAAAAAUGCCAGAUGUAAUAUGGUGGACCGAUAUGAUAUACGUAAUUUUUGAAGUUUUAAAUAAAUUUGGUUGAUUUAAAAAAUUCUGUCUGCCAUAUUGGAUCCAUAAUUUUUAAUUUAUAUUUUUAACAUUGGAUUCUUAAUUAGUGACCUUCAAAACUUUUGAGUAACAUGUUUUUAGCGAAUUUAGUUGAUUUUGAAAAUUCCGUCCACCAUAUUGGAUAUGCCAUUUUGAAUUUUAUAUUUUUCACAUCGAGUUUAUACUCGAUAACCCUCAAAAACUCCCCAGAUAAGAAGUUACACACAUUAUAUUUAUUAGGAAAAAAAUGCCACAAAGAGUUAAUAUUAUUUUUAAAGCUUUUUUAUACUAAAUACUAUUGAAGUCAAUAUAUUUUUAAUGGAAAUACAUAACGAAUUGUUUAAAGAAUAUAUUUGUUAGUUGCAAGUAAAUUAAUUUUUUAUUGGAGUGAUCAUAUUUUGUUGCAAGAAAAUUUUAUUACUUUUCUUGUUCGCGUAAUUCAAAUGCUGAUUGACAUUUGGAUUGCGUGCAGGUUGAUGAGAUAAAGGGAAUAUUGGUAGCUGGUAGAAAAUGUACAUUUUUUGCUGAGCCCUGUUUUAAAAUAUGUAUUUGUUGAAAUAUUCUAUUAUUGUUGAAAAUUACAGAUAAUUUUGGAGUUAUUUAUUUACUUUUUAGUUACUAUUAUAAAUAAAUCUUAAAUAGAAAAUGUAAUUUCAUAAAAUUACAAAAUGCCAUUUCUCAAUAUCAUUUUAGUUUUCUGACAUGUAUUUUAAAGUAUAGAAAUAUUAUAACACAAAAUUAUAUUGUUAUUAUUUUUUUAACAUUAAAUAAGAAACAAAAUAAAAUAUUUUAAAUAUUGUAGAUAUGUUCAACUUAUUUCAAUAAACAUAUCAAAGUAACACUUAUAAGUUUAUAAAAUAUUUGGGAUAGUAUUAUUAAAACAUUUUUCAAUCAUUGGAAAUAUUAUUAGAUAACAUGCAAUAUUAUAUAAGAUGUUAAUAAAAUUCGUAUAAAAUCAAUAUUUUAAAAUGUUUCUAUAAUAUUCCUUUCUUACUGGGUUGCGCCCAAUUUGAAUAAAAUUGCUGCAGUAAAUUCCAUAAUUUUGAGAUUGAGCUUAUGUAUUUGCUCUGAGUUAAGGAGUACGAAUUUACGCGUAAAAAAGACUUUGAUUUUCUUUUAUCAGGAUUUUAUUUUUCUUAGUUGCGGCGCAUGCCUCUCUUACAAUCGUCAUACAUCAACAAUAUAUCUACUCUGUCGCACAGCGCUGCGUUUUCUUUGCUUUCAAAAAUCUCAUUAUAUAAAUAAACGAUCAACGAAGUAUAGUAACCAAUCAAUGUGAAACAAAUAUGUGAAACGAAACAGAAUACACAACUGAUUUUUAUCAAAUGAGAUUGGAACAUUAUGAAAAGUGUUACUUUGCCGAUUUUAGAUUUUAUUCACUCUUACGAGUGAAGGUGCAUCCACAAUAAACCGAUAUUAGCCGUACCAUCUUCAUGAAAUUUUUAUUAAUUCUAUUAGUGUAGAUAAAUUUUUUUUUUUUUUUUCAAAAUAACUCAAGUGGAAAUUGAAUAAAAUUGAAAAUACAAUACUGUUAUGAGAUUACUGUAUCAUAAAGGCGUGUCCUCAUUUAUGUCGUAUCACCGUAAUCGUGUCAUGAUUGCAUGUCAAAAUGAUACGUAGAUACGGUAUGCAGACACAAUAUGGCGCCCCGUCUACACUUGGCUGAUCGUGAUACGUGAUUAUGAUAUUUAUGAUACAAUACAAGAGCUACGACAUAAGUGAGGACACGCCUUUACAGUAUCCGUUGUGAGAUUAACGUACUAAAUAAGAGUUUACGAGUUUUCUUGCCUAAGAAUGCUGAAGAGUUGAAAUAUCACAAUUUCUAUGUAAUUGUUAAGUUAAUGGGGUUUACAUAAGUUUUUUCUUAUAUUAAACACUCUACAAUUUGAUUUUUAUUUUUAAUAUCCAAAAUAUGUUAAAGAAAUUAUUAUUAUAUAUGUAUUAUGUAAGUGAAGGUAUAAUUUUAGAUAUUAAUAAUCAUGAUAAUAGAUCCUAAUAAAACAAAUGUAAUUUGAUGAAAUAAUGACGAAAAUUUUUGUGUUAUUUGUAGAAUAGUAUGUAAUUGCACGAUACAGAAAAAUUUUUUCAGAUUUUGUUAAACAAAACUACGAAAAAUUGUUUUGUUAAAUUAGUAAAGGAAUUAAGAAACUCUUGCACUUUAAAAUGUUAUGUUCUUGUAUUUCAUGUUUAAGUUAUUGAAGAAAUAGCGAGCGACUAUCAUACGUUCGUUCUUCGAUGGUCUGGUGGAAUCCUCGAAAUUAUAAGUUAUAGCAAAAUUGCUACUUUUGUUUAUCCAUAAUUCAAGAGCAUAAUAUAAAAAGUAAAAAAAUGAAGUCAUGAUGGAAGAUAAAGAAUCUCUGUUGACAAUUUGUAUAAGAAAAAUUCUUAUGAGAUCUUGUAAGAAAAAGGAAGUUGUUAAAAAAGUGUUAAUUUUAGCACUUCUAAAUAGACCUUAAAAAAUCAUUGUUUGGGUCCUCAAAUAACAAGAAAAAAUACUCACAUAUCUGAAAAGUGGAGAGAACAUUGCAAGAAUAACUUAAAUAUAGUAAAAAAUAAUAUUAACCACGUGCAUGAUUAAUAAAUGGAAAGCUAUAAUUUUUGCUAAAAUUGUGAGUACAUACUGUAUGUGAAGAUUACAGACUACUUUAGCACAAUCCAGGAUACACCACGUGAAGGUAUAGUCCGCCUAGCAUUCCUUGGCAGAAAUUGGGACUCCACAGUUUGUCACUUCUGUGAUAUUUUGUGACUUCAAACUCUUUCUAUCGUGUGUAUGCGUGUGUGUACGAAUGUAUAAUGUAAAAAUAAAAGAAUUCACACCUUGUUAUGUUUUCAGAAUCUGAUGAUUCUUUAUUAGUGAUCAUCGUAAUCAUUUUGUAUAUUUACUCGUUGAUAAAACAAAAGGUGAAAGUGAUAUUAUUAUUGAGCAUACUUGUGGAUGUAAGGUGGGUCAACGUGUUGUUGGAAGUUGUUCUCAACAUUUGUGUAGUUUCUGAUAAAGCUUGAUUUCAAAGAAACAUUUUAAUGCUUGCUCAAUUCCUCGAUAAUUACUUUAAUGAAGAAUCUAUCAGACUGAAACUCGUUUUUAGAUCUGAAAUGGUGUAAAUUUGGUUAUUUUUAUAUUAUACAUUCGCGCACACAUGCAUACACAUGCAUACAUACGGGGGAGGGGGGAGGGAAGAGAGAGAGAGAGAGAGAGAGAGAGAGAGAGAGAGAGAGAGAGAGAGAGAGAGAGAAUGAGAGUGUGUGUGUUUAAAUAGAAAUGUGUUGUCCGUGUAUUGUUGUCAGUCAUUUGAACGCAGCAGGCGUCUCACGGAAACACCCGCGUGCAACAGUGAGUUGCACCGCCCCUGUCUACCACUUGUAUCCGACCCGUCAUACGCUAACUAAUAGCUAACUUUUUUUAUAAUUUGAAAACUAAGCUUUAGACAAAUUUUUGCCAAAGGAAAAAUCGUCUCAGAAUUCGAUUACAAAUAUACCAGUUUUGGGACAAAUUCGUUAUUUUGAAUCACCCUGUAUAUCCCAUUACUUUUAAAACAUAAAAUAUUUAAGUUAUAAACUAAAAUUAAAAUAUGAAGAAAAAUUAAAACAUUAGCUUUAAGUUUAAAUAUUUUAAAAAAUAUGGCAUAACAACCAAAUCUAUAUACUUAUAAAAAAUAAAAAAAUAUGAAAGGACAAAAAACAUUUUUAUGGACAAAUAAUUAAAGGGCUAAUGAAAAUGUUCGCGCGGUACUCAACACGCAAGUUUUUUACUGUUCAAAUCAGCUUCACUUCAAAUAUAACUUUUUAUUAACGAUAUCACAAGUGUGCGAUUAGCUCAGGUAUUAACGUACUAGGUUAAGGCCACGGCACAGAUUUAUUAAUUCUUUUUGCAUAGCUGCAUUACCGUAUGCAUAAGGAAAUUGAUUAGUCCAUUUCCUUAAGCAUGUGUUAACGGACCAUUCAAUUUACCGUUCCGAAAUUGUUCGAAUCCCACCUAUGCGUUUUUAAAAAAAUAUAAAAUAAUUCGUAAUUGUAAUUAGUGAAAUAGAAUAUAUGCGAAGCAACGAAUACGAAUUAAGCUACAAAAAAAUAAUAUCUG